AGUGAACGCUGGCGGUAGGCCUAACACAUGCAAGUCGAACGGCCGCACAGUAAGAGCUUGCUCUUACGGGUGGCGAGUGGCGGACGGGUGAGGAAUACAUCGGAAUCUACUUUUUCGUGGGGGAUAACGUAGGGAAACUUACGCUAAUACCGCAUACGACCUACGGGUGAAAGCAGGGGAUCUUCGGACCUUGCGCGAUUGAAUGAGCCGAUGUCGGAUUAGCUAGUUGGCGGGGUAAAGGCCCACCAAGGCGACGAUCCGUAGCUGGUCUGAGAGGAUGAUCAGCCACACUGGAACUGAGACACGGUCCAGACUCCUACGGGAGGCAGCAGUAGGGAAUAUUGGACAAUGGGCGCAAGCCUGAUCCAGCCAUACCGCGUGGGUGAAGAAGGCCUUCGGGUUGUAAAGCCCUUUUGUUGGGAAAGAAAAGCAGCAGGUGAAUACCCCGCUGUUCUGACGGUACCCAAAGAAUAAGCACCGGCUAACUUCGUG
RNAcentral lists this ribosomal RNA (492 nucleotides) under uncultured bacterium. RNAcentral describes it as "partial 16S ribosomal RNA". It matches the Rfam family "Bacterial small subunit ribosomal RNA", at positions 29 to 507 of the family's 1533-position model. The record is from RNAcentral.